GAAAUAUUAAUAAAAAAGCUUCUAACUUUUUAAUUAAAUGAUUAAAAUUCAUUUAUAUUUCU
This 62-nucleotide transfer RNA is filed under the name Gilpinia tabulaeformis. Its description in RNAcentral is "tRNA-Ser". The record is from RNAcentral. Lineage: Eukaryota; Metazoa; Arthropoda; Insecta; Hymenoptera; Diprionidae.